RNAcentral lists this non-coding RNA (77 nucleotides) under Lactococcus garvieae. RNAcentral's name for it is "TPP riboswitch (THI element)". It matches the Rfam family "TPP riboswitch aptamer (THI element)", at positions 6 to 96 of the family's 105-position model. From Rfam's summary of the family: Vitamin B(1) in its active form thiamin pyrophosphate (TPP) is an essential coenzyme that is synthesised by coupling of pyrimidine and thiazole moieties in bacteria. Lineage: Bacteria; Bacillati; Bacillota; Bacilli; Lactobacillales; Streptococcaceae. The record is from RNAcentral.
AUCACUAGGGGUGCCUUUAUGGCUGAGAAUUACCCUUUGUACCUGAUCUGGUUAGUACCAGCGGAGGAAAGUGACAU